This 491-nucleotide ribosomal RNA is filed under the name uncultured bacterium. RNAcentral describes it as "partial 16S ribosomal RNA". It matches the Rfam family "Bacterial small subunit ribosomal RNA", at positions 29 to 507 of the family's 1533-position model. The record is from RNAcentral.
AGUGAACGCUGGCGGUAGGCCUAACACAUGCAAGUCGAACGGCAGCACAGUAAGAGCUUGCUCUUACGGGUGGCGAGUGGCGGACGGGUGAGGAAUACAUCGGAAUCUACUUUUUCGUGGGGGAUAACGUAGGGAAACUUACGCUAAUACCGCAUACGACCUACGGGUGAAAGCAGGGGAUCUUCGGACCUUGCGCGAUUGAAUGAGCCGAUGUCGGAUUAGCUAGUUGGCGGGGUAAAGGCCCACCAAGGCGACGAUCCGUAGCUGGUCUGAGAGGAUGUUAACCAAAAUUGGACCUGGACCACGGUCCAGAUCCUAACGGGAGGAAGCAGUGGGAAAAUUUGACCAUGGGGCGAAACCCUGUCCCAGCAAUACGGGGUGGGUAAAGAAGCCCUCCGGGUUGUAAGGCCCUUUUGUGGGAAAAGAAAGCCGCAGGUUAAUAACCCGGUUGUCUGACGGUACCCAAAGAAUAAGCACCGGCUAACUUCGUG